AGUGCAUGAUUUCUGUGCCCUCGAUAUUUUUGGGCUUAAUGGGCCAAAAUUGGAAUGAUGGGCCAACGGGCCCAAUUCGGUGAGCCUUGAUGUGGGUGACUUGGAGCCGGAGGGGAUUUAGAGUGGCCAUGGUGAAUACUUUUGGGUUUGAAAAAGAGACUGGUUUUCUUAAGUUAUUUUUAAUUACUAUUUAAUUUUUGGGUUGUAAUAA
Gossypium arboreum is the source of this 211-nucleotide long non-coding RNA. RefSeq lists it as uncharacterized. The transcript is spliced from 2 exons. The record is from RefSeq and is a predicted model, not a curated record. Lineage: Eukaryota; Viridiplantae; Streptophyta; Magnoliopsida; Malvales; Malvaceae.